Molecule: ribosomal RNA, 443 nt
Filed under: uncultured bacterium
Lineage: Bacteria
Description: partial 16S ribosomal RNA
Rfam family: Bacterial small subunit ribosomal RNA
Source: RNAcentral
CCUACGGGUGGCAGCAGUGGGGAAUAUUGGGCAAUGGAGGCAACUCUGACCCAGCAACGCCGCGUGAAUGAUGAAGGUCUUCGGAUUGUAAAGUUCUGUGAUGGGGGAUGAACACAAUGACGGUACCCCAAUAGCAAGCCACGGCUAACUACGUGCCAGCAGCCGCGGUAAUACGUAUGGGGCAAGCGUUAUCCGGAUUUACUGGGUGUAAAGGGAGCGCAGGCGGCCUGCCAAGUCUGGUGUGAAAACCCGGGGCCCAACCCCGGGCCUGCAUUGGAAACUGGCGGGCUGGAGUGUCGGAGGGGCAGGCGGAAUUCCUAGUGUAGCGGUGAAAUGCGUAGAUAUUAGGAGGAACACCGGUGGCGAAGGCGGCCUGCUGGACGAUGACUGACGUUGAGGCUCGAAAGCGUGGGGAGCAAACAGGAUUAGAUACCCUUGUAGUC